CACGAGGUUGUUGAUGAGGCUGCUGCUCUUUGGUCACUGCAACAUUUCCCGUAUUUUGGCUUUUGUUUCCUUGUAUAUUACAAUCAUAGAAUGACAUAAGGUCAUCAAUCAUCCUUUGCCCCUCUUCAGGAACUCCUACUCCAAAUAGAUCAAAAGGAGGUGGACUUGGAUUAACAGGCAGAGCAACUGAAGUUGACGGGAUAUAUUGUUGAGGGAGGACAACUGGCUUGACUUCGUUCAUGGGAAACUUUGAAACUCCAAAUUGAGAAGUGUUUCUAUAAGGGCAGACCAGUUGAUGAUUGUCUCUCGCAGAUCUGUCCUGAAAACCGUGGCGAAGUUCACUGUAAGGACAUUGAAGAAUCUCACAUGUAUAAAUCUGAGCCAUGGUAACAGUCUGUUCAUUGGAUUGCUUCCUCUUGCGGGUGAAAUCUAAGCUGGUGAUUAUUUCAUCCUUGAUAGGAUGAGACUGUUGUUGCAGAGGCAGCCUCUCGUUGAAUCUCUCAACAGUGACAUUCAACAAGUUGAGAUGGUGUGGUUUUUGCUCUUGAACAUCAAAGUUACACUCAUCUUGAGCACCAUCAACAUCAUACUCACUGCUGUCAUUCACAGUGAAAGUUCCACUACCACCAGCUGACGAUAAAGGUGGACAACGAUCAGGGUAUAGUUCUCGAGCCAAAGCUUCCUCCUGAUUGAUGAUAGCAAGCCAAGUCGCACUUUCUUUUGCUGUCAUCUUAUCCUGCAAGCACUUUGACUGCCUCACAAGCUUCCGGAUUUUAGCAAUAUCAGGGGAAAUGUGCUUGAUCACCGCUGUUAGGACACCAACCUUCCACGCCUUCUUCAGAUCAUGAGGCUUUUUAUAAGGUGGAGGACCUUGAUCCUUCUGCAAACCCAAUUGUGGCCACCAGUCCUCCUGUCCUGUAGGCCACCAUGGGGGUGAAACACCUUUCUCCAAUGGAAAUCUUCUCUGAGGAGGAUCACAGUGCUGCAUCAAAGCUGAUAAUAACGAACCAAGGGUGGUAUCUUGCAGCUCCUGCAAGGUGUGAGGGGUAGGACCAACUGGAUUAGACCCCUCGUUCAUGCCAGGGAUGGCAUGAUCAGCUUGGUAUUUGGCUAUUGCUGCAGGACCAUUUCGAUCGAACCUCACCUUAUCCUUCCACCACUCCCUAAGAUUAUCAGAUGCCCCACUAACUGGCUUGCCUUUUUCCGGAAUGAUCCCAUAAACAAACCCCUGAGCUUUACAUACUUCCAUCAUUUUCAGCAUGUACUUCAGUAUACCAUCUUGUGCACGCGACAUCUUCUUUCUACGAGCCUGCUCCUGCGACUGACGCUGCUUCGCACCAUCCCCCACCACUUUAUUCUUGUUUUUCUCUUUGAGACGCCUCAAAAGCAUUCGAUCCCUCCACAUCCUCCUCUCUAGCUCUUCCACAUCCAUCUCCUCAUCACUAUAAUCAUCCUCCUCCAACCCAACCGGCUUAUGCUCAACUUCUUGAGCUCCACAUCCCAUAGAAUCAGAUAGAAACUCAAAAUUUCCAGAGAACCCCAUAUCUUCAAAUAUCCCCAUUUACCAAAUUAUGAUUUUCUUGAAAACAGCUUGUUGAAGCUGUUAUCUAUGGC
Molecule: unclassified non-coding RNA, 1614 nt
Filed under: Hevea brasiliensis (rubber tree)
Lineage: Eukaryota; Viridiplantae; Streptophyta; Magnoliopsida; Malpighiales; Euphorbiaceae
Source: RNAcentral